CAAUAGCGUAUAUUAAAGUUGUUGCAGUUAAAAAGCUCGUAGUUGGAUUUCUGGUGGGAGCGAUCGGUCUGGCGCUUAGCGCGAGUACUUGCAUCGUCUCCGGCCAUCCUUGGGGAGAGUCUGUCUGGCAUUAGGUUGUCGGGCAGUGGAUCCUCAUCGUUUACUGUGAAAAAAUUAGAGUGUUCAAAGCAGGCUUAUGCCGUUGAAUAUAUUAGCAUGGAAUAAUAAGAUAGGACUUUGGUACUAUUUUGUUGGUUUGCGCACCAAAGUAAUGAUUAAUAGGGACAGUUGGGGGUAUUCGUAUUCCGUUGUCAGAGGUGAAAUUCUUGGAUUUACGGAAGACGAACUACUGCGAAAGCAUUUACCAAGGAUGUUUUCAUUAA
Molecule: ribosomal RNA, 383 nt
Filed under: uncultured eukaryote
Lineage: Eukaryota
Description: partial 18S ribosomal RNA
Rfam family: Eukaryotic small subunit ribosomal RNA
Source: RNAcentral